Molecule: ribosomal RNA, 2899 nt
Filed under: Escherichia coli DEC3D
Lineage: Bacteria; Pseudomonadati; Pseudomonadota; Gammaproteobacteria; Enterobacterales; Enterobacteriaceae
Description: bacterial LSU rRNA
Rfam family: Bacterial large subunit ribosomal RNA
Source: RNAcentral
UUAAGCGACUAAGCGUACACGGUGGAUGCCCUGGCAGUCAGAGGCGAUGAAGGACGUGCUAAUCUGCGAUAAGCGUCGGUAAGGUGAUAUGAACCGUUAUAACCGGCGAUUUCCGAAUGGGGAAACCCAGUGUGAUUCGUCACACUAUCAUUAACUGAAUCCAUAGGUUAAUGAGGCGAACCGGGGGAACUGAAACAUCUAAGUACCCCGAGGAAAAGAAAUCAACCGAGAUUCCCCCAGUAGCGGCGAGCGAACGGGGAGGAGCCCAGAGCCUGAAUCAGUGUGUGUGUUAGUGGAAGCGUCUGGAAAGGCGCGCGAUACAGGGUGACAGCCCCGUACACAAAAAUGCACAUGCUGUGAGCUCGAUGAGUAGGGCGGGACACGUGGUAUCCUGUCUGAAUAUGGGGGGACCAUCCUCCAAGGCUAAAUACUCCUGACUGACCGAUAGUGAACCAGUACCGUGAGGGAAAGGCGAAAAGAACCCCGGCGAGGGGAGUGAAAAAGAACCUGAAACCGUGUACGUACAAGCAGUGGGAGCACAGAGCAAUCUGUGUGACUGCGUACCUUUUGUAUAAUGGGUCAGCGACUUAUAUUCUGUAGCAAGGUUAACCGAAUAGGGGAGCCGAAGGGAAACCGAGUCUUAACUGGGCGUUAAGUUGCAGGGUAUAGACCCGAAACCCGGUGAUCUAGCCAUGGGCAGGUUGAAGGUUGGGUAACACUAACUGGAGGACCGAACCGACUAAUGUUGAAAAAUUAGCGGAUGACUUGUGGCUGGGGGUGAAAGGCCAAUCAAACCGGGAGAUAGCUGGUUCUCCCCGAAAGCUAUUUAGGUAGCGCCUCGUGAAUUCAUCUCCGGGGGUAGAGCACUGUUUCGGCAAGGGGGUCAUCCCGACUUACCAACCCGAUGCAAACUGCGAAUACCGGAGAAUGUUAUCACGGGAGACACACGGCGGGUGCUAACGUCCGUCGUGAAGAGGGAAACAACCCAGACCGCCAGCUAAGGUCCCAAAGUCAUGGUUAAGUGGGAAACGAUGUGGGAAGGCCCAGACAGCCAGGAUGUUGGCUUAGAAGCAGCCAUCAUUUAAAGAAAGCGUAAUAGCUCACUGGUCGAGUCGGCCUGCGCGGAAGAUGUAACGGGGCUAAACCAUGCACCGAAGCUGCGGCAGCGACACUGUGUGUUGUUGGGUAGGGGAGCGUUCUGUAAGCCUGUGAAGGUGUACUGUGAGGAUGCUGGAGGUAUCAGAAGUGCGAAUGCUGACAUAAGUAACGAUAAAGCGGGUGAAAAGCCCGCUCGCCGGAAGACCAAGGGUUCCUGUCCAACGUUAAUCGGGGCAGGGUGAGUCGACCCCUAAGGCGAGGCCGAAAGGCGUAGUCGAUGGGAAACAGGUUAAUAUUCCUGUACUUGGUGUUACUGCGAAGGGGGACGGAGAAGGCUAUGUUGGCCGGGCGACGGUUGUCCCGGUUUAAGCGUGUAGGCUGGUUUUCCAGGCAAAUCCGGAAAAUCAAGGCUGAGGCGUGAUGACGAGGCACUACGGUGCUGAAGCAACAAAUGCCCUGCUUCCAGGGAAAGCCUCUAAGCAUCAGGUAACAUCAAAUCGUACCCAAACCGACACAGGUGGUCAGGUAGAGAAUACCAAGGCGCUUGAGAGAACUCGGGUGAAGGAACUAGGCAAAAUGGUGCCGUAAUUCGGGAGAAGGCACGCUGAUAUGUAGGUGAAGUCCCUCGCGGAUGGAGCUGAAAUCAGUCGAAGAUACCAGCUGGCUGCAACUGUUUAUUAAAAACACAGCACUGUGCAAACACGAAAGUGGACGUAUACGGUGUGACGCCUGCCCGGUGCCGGAAGGUUAAUUGAUGGGGUCAGCGCAAGCGAAGCUCUUGAUCGAAGCCCCGGUAAACGGCGGCCGUAACUAUAACGGUCCUAAGGUAGCGAAAUUCCUUGUCGGGUAAGUUCCGACCUGCACGAAUGGCGUAAUGAUGGCCAGGCUGUCUCCACCCGAGACUCAGUGAAAUUGAACUCGCUGUGAAGAUGCAGUGUACCCGCGGCAAGACGGAAAGACCCCGUGAACCUUUACUAUAGCUUGACACUGAACAUUGAGCCUUGAUGUGUAGGAUAGGUGGGAGGCUUUGAAGUGUGGACGCCAGUCUGCAUGGAGCCGACCUUGAAAUACCACCCUUUAAUGUUUGAUGUUCUAACGUGGACCCGUGAUCCGGGUUGCGGACAGUGUCUGGUGGGUAGUUUGACUGGGGCGGUCUCCUCCUAAAGAGUAACGGAGGAGCACGAAGGUUGGCUAAUCCUGGUCGGACAUCAGGAGGUUAGUGCAAUGGCAUAAGCCAGCUUGACUGCGAGCGUGACGGCGCGAGCAGGUGCGAAAGCAGGUCAUAGUGAUCCGGUGGUUCUGAAUGGAAGGGCCAUCGCUCAACGGAUAAAAGGUACUCCGGGGAUAACAGGCUGAUACCGCCCAAGAGUUCAUAUCGACGGCGGUGUUUGGCACCUCGAUGUCGGCUCAUCACAUCCUGGGGCUGAAGUAGGUCCCAAGGGUAUGGCUGUUCGCCAUUUAAAGUGGUACGCGAGCUGGGUUUAGAACGUCGUGAGACAGUUCGGUCCCUAUCUGCCGUGGGCGCUGGAGAACUGAGGGGGGCUGCUCCUAGUACGAGAGGACCGGAGUGGACGCAUCACUGGUGUUCGGGUUGUCAUGCCAAUGGCACUGCCCGGUAGCUAAAUGCGGAAGAGAUAAGUGCUGAAAGCAUCUAAGCACGAAACUUGCCCCGAGAUGAGUUCUCCCUGACCCUUUAAGGGUCCUGAAGGAACGUUGAAGACGACGACGUUGAUAGGCCGGGUGUGUAAGCGCAGCGAUGCGUUGAGCUAACCGGUACUAAUGAACCGUGAGGCUUAACCUU